UAAAGUACAAGGAAGAAGUAAUCAUUACAAACUCACUCAUCAGGCAAGCUUCUAAUAAGAAUAACUGUUAUGUAAAAGGCAAAUUUAUAAGAAAGGGAUUGGAGCAUGUAUGUGAAACCAUGGUGUUGCAAGAAAAAUAUUCAGCAGG
Adelges cooleyi (spruce gall adelgid) is the source of this 148-nucleotide long non-coding RNA. RefSeq lists it as uncharacterized. The record is from RefSeq and is a predicted model, not a curated record. NCBI's taxonomy places the organism in Eukaryota, Metazoa, Arthropoda, Insecta, Hemiptera, Adelgidae. The transcript has 3 exons.